Vidua chalybeata is the source of this 681-nucleotide long non-coding RNA. RefSeq lists it as uncharacterized. Lineage: Eukaryota; Metazoa; Chordata; Aves; Passeriformes; Viduidae. The transcript is spliced from 4 exons. The record is from RefSeq and is a predicted model, not a curated record.
GCCAUGGCAGCAGCCUGCAGAGGCUGUGGAGGGGCCUCCACACAGCUGUGAGUGACACAGAUGAUGUGCUGAUGAGCUGGAGGGAGCCCUGGACCUGACAGAUGCAGCACUGCUGGGAUCAAUACAGUCUCCUGCUCCAAAGUCAACUUUACACGUGGUGAAUGAACUGAGGAAAAAACAACACCCCACAAAAAUAACCAACACAGAAGAUAAUGAAGUGGCCUGUUUAGGACAUGGCUUCUUGUUUGCUGAUUUGAAAAGCAAAGCAGUGCUACUGUGACAGAUAAAGAAGCCUGUGCUGUCUCUCAGAAUAGCAUAUCCAGUAUAACGUGACACAGAUUAAUGGGUUUUCCCAAAAGAGAGGACUGAUCAAAUCUACAGCUGUGGGUUUGCACACAACAGAACCUAGGCACAUCCAUGCAGCCAGUCUGUAUCUGUUCCUGAGGAAUGGUUUAUUGCAAAAGCAAUGACACGCUCCACUGCUUGGGAAGAGUUAAAGACAAGCUGCUGUGCAAGUUUGCUCCUCACAAGGAGUGUGUGUGCCAAACCACCUUCUCCCAAGCCUUGUUCUCUCUAUUCCCCUGGGAAAGACAUUGAUGGACAUACUUCACCUUCAACAUGAAGUAACAGCAGGCUUUAUUUCUGCAGAGAAUCCAGACACGUUAUGCAGGCAAGAACAUU